ACAAUGAGGUGAGACAUCUACCAGGCUUUGAGACAAACUUUAACUUUUCCUAUGAACUCUUCUCUAAAGCAGGUCACAGGGAAAAAAAGGGUUUAAAGAGAAAUAACUUCUCCGGGCAAAAACUGAGGUUAGCGGGCCUAUCAGCUGUUUCUUCUCACUCCACCACUGCUGCUGACUGGAGGAGCAGCCUGGAAAGCAGCCGCCCUCCCGCAAACAGAGCUCCAGCUCCAAAUCUGUGAGAGUGCAUUUGGCAGAAUCUGAACAAGCAACACAAUGAUUAGAGGGUUUUUGUUUUUUUGUUUGUUUUUAACAGUUUUGUUACAAUGUUUCCACCCCAAAAUGUACCUGGGUAAGUGCUGGGCCCAUUUUUCCUUAUUCCUGACAUAGCUGCAAUUGUAUUAGCUAGAACCACCUAUUAUGCCUAGCUGCUCCAUCAGGAGCCUCUGCUGCCUAGGUGACCAUGUCUGGCCAGACGGGCCCAAUCGGGUAAAAAUGACUGGACUAGACAUGGGCACCUGAUUUUAGGAACCAGUCCAUAGCCAGCUUCUCCACCUCUGACUGACACAAAAAGAUGCAUUGAGACAAUCCUAUUCUUUCUUGGAGAUUUGAACUAAGAAUUUGCUAGAGGGCCCUGUGCAAAACCAUGGUGGGCAGAAACUACGAAGAAGCUUGCUCAAAGUGGAACUGAAGGAAGUAGCAGAAUUAUGCAGACUGGGGACCACUGGAAUCAACAUCUGUUGACUCUGGAUACCUUGAAACCCAACCACCAUUCAGCUUCAAUGUCCGUAAGACCAGAUUUUACUGUGAUACCAGUCCUUUUUUCUUUCAAUGUGAGCCUUUACAGUAAACUUCCUUUGUUAGGUAGGGGCUAGCUAAUGCCAGUUGGUCUCUAUUUCUUACAUCUAAAAAGAAACCUGAACUAAAACAUAGAACAAACACCAGAAUUGGGUCAAGGGUUGUAGUCUUAUUGUUUCUCAAUUAAAAGAAUAUUAUUUUUAAAAGUUCAAAAUAGAAUGAAACAAAAUCCCAUUUAAAUAUGGAGCUGGAAGUUAAAAUAUUUUAGUGACUCCUUUGGACCUGAGACAAAUUAUACUGGAGACUAGCUGUCAUCUGAAAUCACUUUUUCUUAAGUUUUUUUGGUUCAAUUAUUGCAUAAAGACCUAACAGUUAGAGAAAUAAGGAAUGUAUUUUUAUUUCUCUGUAGCCCCAUACUCCUGGGGAUGACAUUUCAACCUUUGCUCUAUCAGUUUCUACGAUUUUCUUACCCUCUGAACCUACCAAUAUACUUUUCUUACUAGGCUCCAGCUUUGAAUCAAUCAUGCUAUUUGUUUUCUCAGCUCCUGGGCUGUUAUAUUGUAAAGAUUCUUUACUGCACUAGCAUGAACCUAUAGUCAUCAGCUGAGCUUUCAAUGGCACAUGACAAUGUCACUGAGCAGCUCAUGCUUCUCUUCUCCAAAAUAGAGAUUCCAAAUUUCUAACACUUUCUAUAAAUCCCCUUCCAGCUCAGAUUGUUCCUUUUUUAAAAGUUAUUUGUAUCCUACUUCCUAGAAAAAAAAUUGACCUAUGAAAUAUAAAAUCCCUCAUUAAAAUUAUGAAGCAGAUAAGGAUGUCUGUCAUAUCUAAUUUUGCUCAGGGUGGAAUAUAGCUAGCUUUAAAACCAGCCAACUGACCAUGAAUCAACUAUAGUUGUAAGCCUUUCUUACAGGUAAAGGGGUCCACUUUACAAAGUUUUAAGCUAAAACCCAUAAGCAGAAGUCCCGAGGUGGAGCUUCUGGAAAAAAUCUUUCUUCCUGAUUGAAACAAGGAACUGCAGAGGUCAUGAUGGGACUAUGAGGCCUAAAGCCACACUCUCUAAGGGUAGUAGAACAGAAGAAUUCAAGGAGCUGAGGUUCCCAAGGUAUCAUGCAACCACAGUACCUGGCCUGGGUGGCCUAGCUCUAUGCCAUCAAUCCUUUACCCUUUGAUAUUCAUCAAUCCCUUACUUGUUUAAACCAAUAAUUCUCAAACUAGUAGCAUUAGUAUCACCUGGGAACUUGUUAGAAAUCCAUAUUCUUGGGCCCCAUACUGGGUAAGAAACAGUGUGGGUUUAGAAAUCUGAGCUUUUAUAAGCCCUCCAGGUGAUUUUGACGCAUUUUAAUGUCUGAGAAUCUCUAGUUUAUGUCGCUGUCUUUUAAGUCUUCCUAAAGGCCAAAUAAAAAAUGUAUUUUUAUGCAUAUAUGGGGCUAAAAAACUGGCUAGCUUUAAAAAUGUAACAUUUUAAUUUUUAAUAUAUUAACGGCUAAUAUAAAAAAGUAAAAAAUUUGUAUAACAAAAUAAAAUACUUAUACCGUGGUAUGGAAGAAAAGCAAGUUAUGCAUGUCGUAUCUACUAUUCAUAUGCACAUGAGUAUGUGCAUAUACUCCCAAACAUUUCAAAUGAAAUAUUCCAAAUAUUGACUAUACAUUAUCUCUAGGUAGUGGGAUUUAACUAAUGCUUGUUUUGUUUUUUUUUCUUCCAAAUUAUCUACAAUGAAGAUGUAUUGCUUUUAAAACCAGAAAAAUAUGCAUAAAAUAUUAUAUAUGAAGCAUGCAAAUGAUAGAUUUAAGAAUAGACACUAGGUGAGACAUAAGGAUUUAAUUACUAAGGAUAAACUUAAGAGAAAUUGUACUAAAAGCUCAUAAUGGGAUAAAUAAAGUUGCAAUGUUUUUUGGCAAUCGUUCUACAGUACCAAAUAUACUCCCUGGAAUCUUCACUACGAUCAAGAUAAUGAACCUAUUCAUCACCCCCAGAAGUUUCCUCGUGCCCCUUUGUAUUACUUUUGUUUGUAAUAGGUAAGUUGACAUAUUUACUUUUGAUUCAUGGCUGUGUUCGACAAGAAGCUUGCAAAAUUACUCGGGAUUUAAUAAUCAGCUCUUACAAGCUAGUAUGAACUGGCUACAGCACACCACUGAUUCUGUUACUGCUCAUUCUCCUUUCUCUAGUUUAAGUAACUUCAGUUUCUUUGACAGUUCCUCAUCUUACCUAUGUUUUCCAGGCUUUCAUCAAUUUUAAACCUCUCAAUUCAGUGGUUGAGCUCAGACCUGGACCUAGAGAGACCUAUACUUUAGGUUAUAGGCUUAAAAAUGAAGCCUAUAAAUGCUUGGGGCAGUUUACAAGGGCUGAGAAAUUGGAGGUUGCUGGGAAAAGCAGCUCUACUAUAGAAAGGGUCCCUUUCUAAGUAAGUCACCCUUGGGAGUUCAGUCUGUGAAUGUCAGUAGAAGGAUGAAGGGAAGCAGGUUACCCAGUUCUGAUGUGGGGCAUACUAUUGCACACUGCUUUCUGCAAGCAGCACUUAGUAGCACUAAUUGAAUCCAACCCCACUGAUCAUUUCAGAUACCAACCCCCAUCUGGCCUAUAUCUACUCAGGAAUAAUGGCUGUGGGUGUCAUAGAGGUAAUUUGAAAGACAUUUUCCUCUACUGCUUUAAGUGAAACCUCAAGAAUAUUUUAAAAAACCCUCAGCAGUCCCAAAAUGUCUUAUUCAGGGUUAAUAACUUUCUUUCCACUGGCCAUAAUGGAAUUUAGUCCUCAUUUAUGUGUUCUUGCUUUUAUGAAUCCCAGAAAGAUGGCCUGAUUUUAAAGCUUGUCCUUGACUCUUCUUCAAGCAGCAGGAUCCAGAUCAUUCACUCUGCCACCAUAAUUUUAACAUAAAACACUCCUAAACUGUGUCUGAGACGAUUACAAAUUUCUUUAUCUUGCAGUAAAAGUAAAAUCUCAAAACUUUUACAAUUCUUAAUAGUAUUUAGGUUACCCUAGCCAAGUGCAGGCCUAGGAAUGCUAGGAAUGUCCUAGAUGCAAAUAGUUUUUUGGUGAAUGGUUAUUUAUGCAGAAUAUUCUGGCCCAAGCUGAAAAUGGCUUUUGAUUGUUUAGAAAGGAAAUUACAGCAUUUAAAACAUAUUAAAGUUUAAAAUAACAUUUUUGAGCAAUUAGGAUAUAAAAGAAUAGAUGGGGAAGAAAUUAGUUAAAUUGCAAGACCCGUAAACAAAACUAACACUACUCAUUUCAAUUCAGUUCCCAGCCUAAGAAAAUUUUCAUUUCAGCAAGGCUUUUCCUGUCUUUUAGACUACUGGAAAAAAUGGUUGGUUCAUUUCACAUGAAAGUAAUGGACCCUGGCUUUGGUCUAGUAUUAAUAAUGUAGAUGACAGUGUGAGGCAACACUGGGUCUGGGGGUUAUUCCAUUGGCAAAUAUGUAUGAAAAACACAGGAAUAUUUAUUCUGCUGAACUAUUUUUAUAAGCCUGUUAUGGCUUCUAAAUCAUCAAGAGGAAGGUUCCUUUACUUGCUACUCUUCACAUUUCCAAACCCUCCCGGUCUUUGAAUAGUUGUUGCUGUUCAAAGUGUAGGAGUAUAUGGAAGAGCAACAUGGAUAUCACCUGGGAGCUCAUUAGAAAUGCAGAACUUAGGCCCCAGACCUGCUGAAGCAGGAUCUGCAUGGUAACAAGAUCCCAGGCCAUUCACAAUCACAAGAAAGUCCCACAGGUGACCAUCUGCAGAGACUGUCUCUAAUAAUUUUGGCCCGCAAUGUUUAAUGCCUCUUUUCUCUGAACUUUUACCUUACCUUCUGUCUGCUCUAUAUAAUUUAGCAGUUGAUUAUAUGAUCUUAUGUUUCUUAAUAAUUACUGGAGGUAUGCAAAUCUUAUUUACAAGAUUAUGCAAGUCUCUGUUACGGAGGUUUGCAAUCAAUGCUCAUUAUUCCAUUGUUUGUUAAAGCCCUAUUCUAUUCCUUUCUGCCUUAUGUUCCAAAACAUUUUGAGGUCAGGUUUAGGAAAAAUUAUAAAAAAUUAUCCUAAUAUUAAUAAAAGUAAAUACAUGCUUUAGAAAGAAGCUGUUAAUAAGAGUGGAAGACUGUAAAUAACUUCAUAUAUAGUUUUUGUUUUCUUAUGAAUGCCAAGACAUGAAAGUAAACUGUGCUCUUGGCAAAUGGUUUAGAAUAUAACCAAUCCUUGAUUUUUCAUUAAAAUCAUAUCUGUAGCCUGUAAUCCCAGCACUUUGGGAUGUUGAGGCAGGAAGAUUGCUUGAGACCAGAAGUCAGAGACCAGCCUGGGCAACAUAGUGAGAUGCGUCUCUACCAAAAAAAGUAAAAAAAAAAAAAAAAAAAAAUUAGCUGGAUAUGGUAGUGCAUGCCUGUAGUCCUACCUACUCAGGAGGCUAAGGCGGGAGGAUCCCUUGAGCCCAGGAGUUCAAGGUUGCAGUGAGCUCUAAUUAUGCCAUUAUGCUGUAGCCUACAGCCUGGGCAACAGAGCAAGACCCUGAAUCAAAAAAGAAGAGAGAGAGAGAGAGAGAGAGAGAGAGAGAAAAGAAAGAAAGAGAAAGGAAAAAGGAAAGAAAGAAAGAAAGAAAGGCUUAGUACGAGUACAUCAAUAGCAAAAGAAUUAGAGGUACUAUGGCACAGUAGUUAAUUUAACAUUUUUUAUGGCAAUAUCUACUUUGUGAAUUGACCAUAAUAUUAUUUAAUCUCUAUGAGCUUGUAAGAUCUCAAUUUAAUAUCAUUACAAGCCAUCCCUUGUGUUUAAAGUACAUCUCCAUUAGAAUUAGUUCCCAGAUUGUAUUAAUGCUUAAAGAAUUAAAAUAACUAUUAGCAAGAGAGGAAUGAAAAAUCUAGGAAAACGAACAACAUAACACGUAUAUUGUACACACACACAUACACACACACACACCCACACAUACACACACAGGCUGACCUGUUGACUGCUCCAGGCAAUGUUGGAAUAGGAAAUAAGUUUUCUGUUGAGGUUAAUAUUUUUGUGGAUUUUUUUAACCAUUGUAAGAAAACCUGUAAUAAAUUUAAGAGUAGAAAAAAAUAGUUUUGCUGUUAGGAAAGAUAAAAGAAAGUUAUCAUAUAUUAUGUUCUGUAGAUUGUUUCUUUCGGUGGUAUCAAAAGAAUUGGCCCAUGUUUGAAGAUCUGAAUUUAAUUAAGUCUACACAGAAUAUAGUUUAAAGGUGUGAAGACUUUGCUAUUAAUAUGAUAAAUACUUUUUCUUAAGACAUUGUUUAUCUACAGAAAGACUACCAUAUUCAAGAUUUAAAGGUAGAUUGUUUUUGUUCACAUCAUUUUGAUCUUAGGUUUUGCUGGAAACAUUCACAAGAAGGGGGCCUUUAAUUUAUGUAUGCUUUAAGAAUACUUAAUAGCUAAUCUACAAAUUAAAAAAAAAAAUACCUGGCUAGGCACGGUGGCUCACGCCUGUAAUCCCAGCACUUUGGGAGGCCGAGGUGGGCAGAUCACGAGGUCAGGAGAUCGAGACCAUCCGGGCUAACAUGCAGAAGCCCUGUCUCUACUAAAAACUCAAAAAAUUAGCCGGGCGUGGUGGCACAUGCCUCUAGUCCCAGCUACUCGGGAGGCUGAGGCAGGAGAAUCCCUUGAAUCCCGGAGGUGGAGGUUGCAGUGAGCCGAGAUUAUGCCACUGUACUCCAUCCUGGGCAACAGAGCGAGACUGUGUCUCAAAAAAAAAAAAAAAAAAAAAUUCCUUUUUUGUUUUUCCACAAAAAUUUUUUCUGUGUUUUCCUUGAAGUUUUUCCAAGGAAAAACUUUGGAAACCAUGUCCUGCCUUGAAUUACUUUUAAUAAUCUCAAGACAGCAUGGAUUGGCUUGCAAAGACUAAUAGUUGACUUCAUGUUCCAGAAGCAUCAGAGAAUGCUGAUCAUGUUGAGAGCUGGCCCCUUUGCAGGCAUCUACUGGGUUUCCUGGAAGUAAAAACUUGUAAUUUUCAAGUAUGGCAUGGGGAUAGUUGCUCUGAAAUGCAUUCCAGAACUGUCAAGAUUAGGUCUUCAUGAGAAGUCAGGUUUGGAGAAGUCAUUCAUUCAAGAUGAUGUUUAGGUAGUAGAAAUCAGUGAAGGUGAUUGCAGAGGUCAAAGGGCAUGACCCUACAUUCUAAUGACAGGAAUUGUGUUUGGAAAAUUUCAGUUUUCUUCUUAAUGUGUCCACUUGAAUGCAUGCAAGCUCUGUGGAGAUAAGCAGAGUCUAUGGUAGUUUUGUCCUGUGGCUAUCUUGGGCCCACUAGAAUCAUAGCAGAUAUGACAGAGGCACAGCUUGCCUCAGUUUCUGCUUACACACAGAACAGCUUCUUCUACAUAUAAAGCCACAUAUAAUUUAACACCUAAACUAGGACACUUGUGACAGUGAAAAGAGAUGCUAUUGACAAUUUCAGCUGGAAAACAGGUGGAUACCAUUUGGCUAAUGGAUCAAUGAGAAAUGUUGAAGAAUGAAUGAACCAGCAUCUGUGUGUUUUAUUAAUGGGUUUUCAAAGACCCUGGGUCUUCAGACCUAAGAAGAAGGUGGUAUAGCAAAGCACUGGCUUUGGGGGUACACAGCCAGUUGAAAUCCUACUUUAACAUUUACUGUUUGUGUGAUCUUGGGCAUAUUUGCUAAUUACUUUGUGUCUCUCUGUUUUCUUGUUAUAAAUGGGAAUAAUAAUUCUCACCACACCGGGUUGUUUUAAGAAUUAAAGAAAUGAUGUAUAUAUAGCAUUUGGUGUGGUGCCUGGCACAGAGUAAACAUUUGGCAAAUAAUCAUUAUUAUUCUUAAUUAUUGUCCCUACUUGACCAGAACCUUGUUCUAGGUAUAAGAAUAAUGCUACAGCACAGUCAAGGUGGAGAAGAGCCAUUUUGGCCUCUUGGUCGAAGCAUCCAUUGUAACAAAACAACUCAGCCUGAUGUCCCAUGAUCAUGAAAGGAGCUCAUGGUAGGACUGAAUGAACACGGUGUCUUACAAAUAUUUAGGCUGAAUCAUGAGGACCAGGGCCCAAGCCUUUAGUAUAGGCCUACUGCUUGAAUAGGAAGGCCUUAUACAACCAAAAUGACCUAGAUUUCCAGCACAUCUUCCUGAUGCUCUGCAAUAUUUAUCUUUUUCUUGGAAGAGCUCAUUAGCAAGAUGGAAGGUGUUCAGGUUACUCACGAAUGUACAUAUUAUAGACUUCUCUUUAUGAGUAUAUGUGUUAGUUUAUUUUUGCAUUGCUACAAAUACCCGAGGCUUGGUAAUUUAUAAAGAAAAGAGGUUUAAUUAGCUCACAGUUCUGUAGGCUGUAUAGGAAGCAUGGUGCUGGCAUCUGCUCAGCUUCUGGUAGGGCCAUAGGGAGGUUUUACUCAUGGCAGAAGGCCAAGGGGGAAAAAGGCAUGGUGAGAGAGGGAGCAAGAGAGAGAGAAGGGGGAGGUCCCAGACUCUCUGAACAACUAGGUCUAUUGUGAACUGAGUGAGAACUCACUCAUCACCAAGGAGAUGGUGCUAAGCCAUUCAUGAGGGAUCUGCCCCCAUCAUCCAAUACUUCCCACCAGGCCCCACCUCCAACAUUGAGGAUCACAUUUCAACAUGAGAUUUGAAAGGGACACACCUCCAAAUCCUAUCAGUAUAUGAAUAAUGUUGAAAUAUACUUUUCUGGGGGAAUAUAGGGGAAGUAGGGCCAGUGGUUUGCUCAUAAAAAAAUUUCAAAAAUUGUGAAAGCCAUCAUUAAAAAUUAAUUUAUAUAUAAACCUGUACUAAAUAAAAGAUCUUAAAAACAAAGUUUAUAAAUACUCAAAACUCAUUACUUCAUAAUUAUUUUACUACAUUUUACUAAUAUCUAUGCUUUUAAGUUUGUGUCUGUUGUGUCUGUAUGGGAGAAAUAUUCUACGGUGGUCUGCUGUUGUCAUUAUAUAUCUUUUCUCAGUUCAGUGUAUUCAGUGAUGUCACCCUGGUAGCUUGAAAUUAGCCAUGAUGGGAAUAGUUACACCAUGGAAACUGGUGAGCACUACAAAUAAAGGCUUGAUUUAUUGUUUUUUGAUUGUUGAUUGCCUCGACCUUAGACAGUUAUACAGGAAAUGCACAUUAAACUUAAAUGUAUGCCUUGACUGUAACCAGCACGGUGUGAAUGGACCAAAAAAUGAGGAAAUAUUCUUCAAGUAUUCAAAAACAAUUCUCUGAUAGAGCAAAGAAGUCACUUCAUCAUUGAGAAACUACUGAAGUUCCUAUAUUUAUCUUCAUUGUUUCACUUUCUUGUUAACAUAAAAAAAUGUGUUAACCAAGAUUUAUGUCAGAACUAUACUGUGGCUCAUCAAUUGCAGCCAUAGGUUGGCUGUGAAUGCAACAGUUUAGUAAAAACAAAAACAUUCUGUGAGAUUCAAUUAGCUAUAUAUAAUUUACAGUAACAAAUAUUGUAUAUAUUAUUAUUUGCAAAUUGUAUGCCAAGAAUCCUUCAUAUUAGUCACAAUUUAUAAUAAUUGUAUGUAUAUGUCCAUCUAUCUAUGCCUAUAUUGUUUUUUUUUUAAAUUAUUAUUAUACUUUAAGUUUUAGGGUACAUGUGCACAAUGUGCAGGUUAGUUACAUAUGUAUACAUGUGCCAUGCUGGUGCGCUGCACCCACUAACUCGUCAUCUAGCAUUAGGUAUAUCUCCCAAUGCUAUUCCGCCCCCCUCCCCCCACCCCACAACAGUCCCCAGAGUGUGAUGUUCCCCUUCCUGUGUCCAUGUGUUCUCAUUGUUCAGUUCCCACCUAUGAGUGAGAAUAUACGGUGUUUGGUUUUUUGUUCUUGCGAUAGUUUACUGAGAAUGAUGAUUUCCAAUUUCACCCAUGUCCCUACAAAGGACAUGAACUCAUCUUUUUAUGGCUGCAUAGUAUUCCAUGGUGUAUAUGUGCCACAUUUUCUUAA
This 9631-nucleotide long non-coding RNA is filed under the name Homo sapiens (human). Its description in RNAcentral is "non-protein coding LINC01829:27". The record is from RNAcentral. Lineage: Eukaryota; Metazoa; Chordata; Mammalia; Primates; Hominidae.